ACAAAGGGCAGCAAGUUCGCGAGGACAAGCAAAUCCCAUAAACCGUAGCUCAGUUCAGAUCGUAGGCUGCAACUCGCCUACGUGAAGGAGGAAUCGCUAGUAAUCGCAGGUCAGCAUACUGCGGUGAAUACGUUCCCGGGCCUUGUACACACCGCCCGUCACACCAUGGAAGUUGGCCAUGCCCGAAGCCGUUACUCCAACCCUUGUGGAGGAGGACGUCGAAGGUGGGGCUGAUGACUGGGGUGAAGUCGUAACAAGGUAGCCGUACCGGAAGGUGCGGCUGGAUCACCUCCUAAC
Molecule: ribosomal RNA, 297 nt
Filed under: uncultured Synechococcus sp.
Lineage: Bacteria; Bacillati; Cyanobacteriota; Cyanophyceae; Synechococcales; Synechococcaceae
Description: partial 16S ribosomal RNA
Rfam family: Bacterial small subunit ribosomal RNA
Source: RNAcentral